GACGAACGCUGGCGGCGUGCUUCAUACAUGCAAGUCGAACGAGAAGCUGACUUCGGUCAGUGGAAAGUGGCUGACGGUUGAGUAAUAUGUAGGAAAUCUGCCUUUAGGUGGUUUUCAACAGAGUUAAACUUCUUCUAAUACCCCAUAUGAGCGUAGCUUAAAUGCUAUUUUUGAAAACUCCGGUGGCUAAAGAUGUGCCUGGAUUUGAUUCUCUAGUUGUUAGUUUGAUGGAUUUCCAAUGCGACGAUCAGUAUCUGUUUUGGGAUGAUGAUCAGCCAAAAAGGGAAAGAGACACGACACAUAAACCUGCGGGAAGAAGCAGUAAGGAAUCAUGAGCAAGGGGCGAAAGACUGACGCAGCAACGCGGCGUGAACGAUUAAGCCCUUCGGGGUGUAAAGUUCUGUCAGUGGGGACGAAAAUUGACGGUAACAACAGAGGAAGCACCGGCUAACUACGUG
Molecule: ribosomal RNA, 458 nt
Filed under: uncultured bacterium
Lineage: Bacteria
Description: partial 16S ribosomal RNA
Rfam family: Bacterial small subunit ribosomal RNA
Source: RNAcentral